Molecule: ribosomal RNA, 433 nt
Filed under: uncultured bacterium
Lineage: Bacteria
Description: partial 16S ribosomal RNA
Rfam family: Bacterial small subunit ribosomal RNA
Source: RNAcentral
AACGAACGCUGGCGGCAUGCCUAACACAUGCAAGUCGAACGAGAUCUUCGGAACUUUUGGCGCACGGCUGCGUAACGCGUGGGAAUCUGCCCCUUGCUUCGGAAUAACUGUGAGAAAUUACUGCUAAUACCGGAUGAUGUCUUCUGACCAAAGAUUUAUUGGGAAGGGAUGAGCGCUCGUAGGAUUAGGUAGUUGGUGGGGUAAUGGCAUACCAAGCGGAGGAUCCUUAGCUGGUCUGUGAGGAUGAUCAGCCACACUGGGACUGAGACACGGCCCAGACUCGUACGGAAGGGAGGAGUGGGGAAUAUUGGACGAUGGGGGAAGGCAUGAUCCAGCAAUGCCGGGUGAGUGAUGAAGGCAGUAGGGUAGUAAUGUUCUUUUAACAGGGAUGAUAAUGACAGUACCUGGAGAAUAAGCUCCGGCUAACUCCGUG